UCAGAGAGUUUGAUCCUGGCUCAGGAUGAACGCUGGCGGUGUGCCUAACACAUGCAAGUCGAGCGAUCUUCUUCGGAAGAGAGCGGCGGACGGGUGAGUAACGCGUGGGUAACCUGCCUCAUACACAUGGAUAACAUACCGAAAGGUAUGUUAAUACGAGAUGAUAUAAGAGAUUCGCAUGGAUUUCUUAUCAAAGCUUUUGCGGUAUGAGAUGGACCCGCGUCUGAUUAGCUAGUUGGUAAGGUAAUGGCUUACCAAGGCGACGAUCAGUAGCCGACCUGAGAGGGUGAUCGGCCACAUUGGAACUGAGACACGGUCCAAACUCCUACGGGAGGCAGCAGUGGGGAAUAUUGCACAAUGGGCGAAAGCCUGAUGCAGCAACGCCACGUGAGCGAUGAAGGCCUUCGGGUCGUAAAGCUCUGUCCUCAAGGAAGAUAAUGACGGUACUUGAGGAGGAAGCCCCGGCUAACUACGUG
This 476-nucleotide ribosomal RNA is filed under the name uncultured bacterium. RNAcentral's name for it is "bacterial SSU rRNA". It matches the Rfam family "Bacterial small subunit ribosomal RNA", at positions 1 to 507 of the family's 1533-position model. The record is from RNAcentral.